AACGAACGCUGGCGGCAUGCCUAACACAUGCAAGUCGAACGAGACCUUCGGGUCUAGUGGCGCACGGGUGCGUAACGCGUGGGAACCUGCCCUUAGGUUCGGAAUAACUCCCCGAAAGGGGUGCUAAUACCGGAUAAUGUCUUCGGACCAAAGAUUUAUCGCCUUUGGAUGGGCCCGCGUUGGAUUAGCUAGUUGGUAGGGUAAAAGCCUACCAAGGCGACGAUCCAUAGCUGGUCUGAGAGGAUGAUCAGCCACACUGGGACUGAGACACGGCCCAGACUCCUACGGGAGGCAGCAGUGGGGAAUAUUGGACAAUGGGCGAAAGCCUGAUCCAGCAAUGCCGCGUGAGUGAUGAAGGCCUUAGGGUUGUAAAGCUCUUUUACCCGGGAUGAUAAUGACAGGACCGGGAGAAUAAGCUCCGGCUAAAUCCGU
RNAcentral lists this ribosomal RNA (432 nucleotides) under uncultured bacterium. RNAcentral's name for it is "partial 16S ribosomal RNA". It matches the Rfam family "Bacterial small subunit ribosomal RNA", at positions 29 to 506 of the family's 1533-position model. The record is from RNAcentral.